RNAcentral lists this ribosomal RNA (292 nucleotides) under uncultured bacterium. RNAcentral describes it as "partial 16S ribosomal RNA". It matches the Rfam family "Bacterial small subunit ribosomal RNA", at positions 505 to 796 of the family's 1533-position model. The record is from RNAcentral.
GUGCCAGCCGCCGCGGUAAUACGGAGGGUGCAAGCGUUAAUCGGAAUUACUGGGCGUAAAGCGUACGUAGGCGGCUUGUUAAGCAAGAUGUGAAAGCCCCGGGCUCAACCUGGGAAUGGCAUUUUGAACUGGCAGGCUCGAGUUUUGAAGAGGGUGGUAGAAUUUCCUGUGUAGCGGUGAAAUGCGUAGAUAUAGGAAGGAAUACCAGUGGCGAAGGCGGCCACCUGGUCAAAAACUGACGCUGAGGUACGAAAGCGUGGGGAGCAAACAGGAUUAGAUACCCUAGUAGUCC